This 837-nucleotide ribosomal RNA is filed under the name Enterococcus durans. RNAcentral describes it as "bacterial SSU rRNA". It matches the Rfam family "Bacterial small subunit ribosomal RNA", at positions 70 to 878 of the family's 1533-position model. Lineage: Bacteria; Bacillati; Bacillota; Bacilli; Lactobacillales; Enterococcaceae. The record is from RNAcentral.
UCUUUUUCCACCGGGACUUGCUCCACCGGAAAAAGANGAGUGGCGAACGGGUGAGUAACACGUGGGUAACCUGCCCAUCAGAAGGGGAUAACACUUGGAAACAGGUGCUAAUACCGUAUAACAAUCNAAACCGCAUGGUUUUGAUUUGAAAGGCGCUUUCGGGUGUCGCUGAUGGAUGGACCCGCGGUGCAUUAGCUAGUUGGUGAGGUAACGGCUCACCAAGGCCACGAUGCAUAGCCGACCUGAGAGGGUGAUCGGCCACAUUGGGACUGAGACACGGCCCAAACUCCUACGGGAGGCAGCAGUAGGGAAUCUUCGGCAAUGGACGAAAGUCUGACCGAGCAACGCCGCGUGAGUGAAGAAGGUUUUCGGAUCGUAAAACUCUGUUGUUAGAGAAGAACAAGGAUGAGAGUAACUGUUCAUCCCUUGACGGUAUCUAACCAGAAAGCCACGGCUAACUACGUGCCAGCAGCCGCGGUAAUACGUAGGUGGCAAGCGUUGUCCGGAUUUAUUGGGCGUAAAGCGAGCGCAGGCGGUUUCUUAAGUCUGAUGUGAAAGCCCCCGGCUCAACCGGGGAGGGUCAUUGGAAACUGGGAGACUUGAGUGCAGAAGAGGAGAGUGGAAUUCCAUGUGUAGCGGUGAAAUGCGUAGAUAUAUGGAGGAACACCAGUGGCGAAGGCGGCUCUCUGGUCUGUAACUGACGCUGAGGCUCGAAAGCGUGGGGAGCAAACAGGAUUAGAUACCCUGGUAGUCCACGCCGUAAACGAUGAGUGCUAAGUGUUGGAGGGUUUCCGCCCUUCAGUGCUGCAGCUAACGCAUUAAGCACUCCGCCUGGGG